This 128-nucleotide ribosomal RNA is filed under the name Microcebus murinus (gray mouse lemur). The record is from RNAcentral. Lineage: Eukaryota; Metazoa; Chordata; Mammalia; Primates; Cheirogaleidae.
GUCUAUGGCCUACCACCCUCAACAUGCCUGAUCCGGUCUGAUCUCUGAAGCUAAGCAGGGUUGGGCCUGGUUAGUACUUGGAUGAGAGAAAACACCUGAGAGAGGUGGGAGUGUGAGCUCUAUGGACA